CCUACGGGUGGCUGCAGUGAGGAAUAUUGGUCAAUGGGCGCAAGCCUGAACCAGCCAUGCCGCGUGAAGGAUGAAGGCCCUAUGGGUUGUAAACUUCUUUUGUACGGGACGAAACCCCUGAACGUGUUCGGGGCUGACGGUACUGUACGAAUAAGCAUCGGCUAACUCCGUGCCAGCAGCCGCGGUAAUACGGAGGAUGCAAGCGUCAUCCGGAUUCAUUGGGUUUAAAGGGUGCAAAGGCGGGAAAAUAGAAAGCCUGCAGCUUAACUGCAGAAUUGCCAUUGAUACUGUUAUUCUUGAGUACAGUUGAAGUGGGUGGAAUGUGUGGUGUAGCGGUGAAAUGCUUAGAUAUCACACAGAACGCCAAUUGCGAAGGCAGCUCACUAAGCUGUUACUGACGCUGAGGCACGAAAGCGUGGGGAUCAAACAGGAUUAGAUACCCUUGUAGUC
Molecule: ribosomal RNA, 450 nt
Filed under: uncultured bacterium
Lineage: Bacteria
Description: partial 16S ribosomal RNA
Rfam family: Bacterial small subunit ribosomal RNA
Source: RNAcentral